CGGAUGUAGCCAAGGGGAUCAAGGCCAUG
Molecule: transfer RNA, 29 nt
Filed under: Eugenia oblongata
Lineage: Eukaryota; Viridiplantae; Streptophyta; Magnoliopsida; Myrtales; Myrtaceae
Description: partial tRNA-His
Source: RNAcentral